RNAcentral lists this ribosomal RNA (478 nucleotides) under uncultured bacterium. RNAcentral's name for it is "partial 16S ribosomal RNA". It matches the Rfam family "Bacterial small subunit ribosomal RNA", at positions 28 to 507 of the family's 1533-position model. The record is from RNAcentral.
GAUGAACGCUGGCGGCGUGCUUAACACAUGCAAGUCGAACGAGAAGUGGAGACGGAAACCUUCGGGCGGAAGACUUUACUUCGAGUGGCGGACGGGUGAGUAACGCGUGGGUAACCUGCCUCAUACAGGGGGAUAACAGUUGGAAACGACUGUUAAUACCGCAUAAGACCACAGCACCGCAUGGUGCGGGGGUAAAAACUCCGGUGGUAUGAGAUGGACCCGCGUUCGAUUAGCCAGUUGGCGGGGUAACGGCCCACCAAAGCGACGAUCGAUAGCCGAUCUGAGAGGAUGACCGGCCACAUUGGGACUGAGACACGGCCCAAACUCCUACGGGAGGCAGCAGUGGGGAAUAUUGCACAAUGGGGGAAACCCUGAUGCAGCGACGCCGCGUGGGUGAAGAAGUAUUUCGGUAUGUAAAGCUCUAUCAGCAGGGAAGAAAAUGACAGUACCUGAGUAAGAAGCCCCGGCUAACUACGUG